GACGAACGCUGGCGGCGUGCCUAAUACAUGCAAGUAGAACGCUGAAGAGAGGAGCUUGCUCUUCUUGGAUGAGUUGCGAACGGGUGAGUAACGCGUAGGUAACCUGCCUUGUAGCGGGGGAUAACUAUUGGAAACGAUAGCUAAUACCGCAUAACAAUGGAUGACACAUGUCAUUUAUUUGAAAGGGGCAAUUGCUCCACUACAAGAUGGACCUGCGUUGUAUUAGCUAGUAGGUGAGGUAACGGCUCACCUAGGCGACGAUACAUAGCCGACCUGAGAGGGUGAUCGGCCACACUGGGACUGAGACACGGCCCAGACUCCUACGGGAGGCAGCAGUAGGGAAUCUUCGGCAAUGGGGGCAACCCUGACCGAGCAACGCCGCGUGAGUGAAGAAGGUUUUCGGAUCGUAAAGCUCUGUUGUAAGUCAAGAACGAGUGUGAGAGUGGAAAGUUCACACUGUGACGGUAGCUUACCAGAAAGGGACGGCUAACUAUGUG
This 497-nucleotide ribosomal RNA is filed under the name uncultured bacterium. RNAcentral describes it as "partial 16S ribosomal RNA". It matches the Rfam family "Bacterial small subunit ribosomal RNA", at positions 28 to 507 of the family's 1533-position model. The record is from RNAcentral.